AACGAACGCUGGCGGAAUGCUUUACACAUGCAAGUCGAACGGUAGAGGGGGCAACCCCUCGAGAGUGGCGAACGGGUGAGUAAUAUAUCGGAACGUGCCCAGUCGUGGGGGAUAACGUAGCGAAAGUUACGCUAAUACCGCAUACGAUCUAAGGAUGAAAGCGGGGGAUCGCAAGACCUCGCGCGAUUGGCGCGGCCGAUAUCAGAUUAGGUAGUUGGUGGGGUAAAGGCUCACCAAGCCAACGAUCUGUAGCUGGUCUGAGAGGACGACCAGCCACACUGGAACUGAGACACGGUCCAGACUCCUACGGGAGGCAGCAGUGGGGAAUUUUGGACAAUGGACGCAAGUCUGAUCCAGCCAUUCCGCGUGCAGGAUGAAGGCCCUCGGGUUGUAAACUGCUUUUGUACGGAACGAAAAGGUCUCUCUUAAUACGGGGGACUCAUGACGGUACCGUAAGAAUAAGCACCGGCUAACUACGUGCCAGCCGCCGCAGUAA
RNAcentral lists this ribosomal RNA (496 nucleotides) under uncultured bacterium. Its description in RNAcentral is "partial 16S ribosomal RNA". It matches the Rfam family "Bacterial small subunit ribosomal RNA", at positions 29 to 523 of the family's 1533-position model. The record is from RNAcentral.